Molecule: non-coding RNA, 499 nt
Organism: Ornithorhynchus anatinus (platypus)
Lineage: Eukaryota; Metazoa; Chordata; Mammalia; Monotremata; Ornithorhynchidae
Source: the annotation of a RefSeq genome assembly
UCCGGGAGAGGGAAACGGCUCCUUGAACCAGGGAGCUUGGUCAACGUCCCAGGGCCCAGAACUGAGUCCUCAGUGCCUCCUGUCACGGAGGAAGGAUGGAGAAGCCCCUGGGAGCCUCGUUACUAAUUCUGGGACUCCAGCUGGGCUGGGCGAGUGGCCAGAUUACGGUGGAGCAGACUCCUCCGUCCCUCAGCAUCCAUGAGGGAGAGAACGGCACCUUGACUUGCAACUACACCGCGACUACGUCUAUCACCCUAUACUGGUACCGGCAGAUCCCUGGGAGAGGCCCUGACUUCCUGAUGUUAAUUUAUUCACAUGAGAAAGAAAAACCCAGUGGCAGAUUGACAGCCACACUGGAGAAAGUUCCCCAACGCAGCUUCCUGCACAUCCCCGCUGCCCAGCUCGGAGACUCAGCCACCUACCUCUGUGCCGUGGAGACACAGUGAUCCCCAGACACCUGCAGCCCGUGCGGAAACCCCGCCGGCAGCUGGGAAUCCUU